UUGGAAGCAGCCAUUCAUUUAAAGAGUGCGUAACAGCUCACUAGUCGAGGAGUUUGGCGUGGAUAAUAAUCGGGCAUUAAGCAAUUUACCGAAGCUAUGGGAUCAGUAAUGAUCGGUAGGGGAGCAUUCCACUCCGCGUCGAAGGUGAAGCGUGAGCUUUGCUGGAGCGUGUGGAAAAGCAAAUGUAGGUAUAAGUAACGAUAAAGGGGGUGAGAAACCCCCUCGCCGAAAGACUAAGGUUUCCUGAUCAACGCUAAUCGGAUCAGGGUUAGUCGGGUCCUAAGGCUCAGCCGAACGGUGAGGCCGAUGGCAGAACAGGUUAAUAUUCCUGUACUACCUUAAAGAGUGACGUGGAGACGGAGCAGUGAUAGCGCCGCGGACUGACGGAAUAGUCCGUUGAAGGGUGUAGAUGUUGAUCUUUGCAGGCAAAUCCACAAAGAGAGUCGAACCUGAUAGUAUGGAGCGUUCUUCGGAACAAUCCAAUAGUGCGUGUAAGCAUACUCCCAAGAAAAUCCGCUAAACUUAAUCUUUAAGGUACCCGUACCGCAAACGGACACACGUAGUCGGGUUGAAUAUACUAAGGCGCUUGAGUGAUUCACGGUUAAGGAACUAGGCAAAUUGACCCUGUAACUUCGGGAUAAAGGGUCCCAACGAGAGUUGGGCGCAGAGAAUAGGUCCAGGCAACUGUUUAACAAAAACACAGGGCUGUGCCAAAUUGAAAGAUCACGUAUACAGCCUGACACCUGCCCGGUGCUGGAAGGUUAAGAGGAGAUGUCAUCGCAAGAGAAGCAUUGAAUUGAAGCCCCAGUAAACGGCGGCCGUAACUAUAACGGUCCUAAGGUAGCGAAAUUCCUUGUCGGGUAAGUUCCGACCUGCACGAAUGGUGUAAUGAUCUGGACACUGUCUCAACCGUGAGCUCAGUGAAAUUGUAGUAUCGGUGAAGAUGCCGAUUACCCGCGAUGGGACGAAAAGACCCCGUGAACCUUUACUAUAGCUUAACAUUGAAUUUGGGUAAUUGAUGUGUAGGAUAGGCCGGAGACUUUGAAGCGCAGACGCCAGUUUGUGUGGAGUCGCUGUUGAAAUACGGCCCUUUGAUUAUUUGAGUUCUAACCCGUUGUAACGGGGACACUGUUUGGUGGGUAGUUUGACUGGGGUGGUCGCCUCCAAAAGUGUAACGGAGGCUUCUAAAGGUGCCCUCAGGACGAUUGGUAACCGUCGGCAGAGUGUAAUGGCAUAAGGGCGCUUGACUGGGAGACAUACAAGUCGAUCAGGUAGGAAACUAGAGCAUAGUGAUCCGGUGUUUCCGUAUGGAAGGGACAUCGCUCAAAGGAUAAAAGGUACUCCGGGGAUAACAGGCUGAUCCCUCCCAAGAGCUCAUAUCGACGGAGUGGUUUGGCACCUCGAUGUCGGCUCGUCACAUCCUGGGGCUGGAGAAGGUCCCAAG
RNAcentral lists this ribosomal RNA (1444 nucleotides) under human gut metagenome. RNAcentral's name for it is "bacterial LSU rRNA". It matches the Rfam family "Bacterial large subunit ribosomal RNA", at positions 1106 to 2569 of the family's 2925-position model. The record is from RNAcentral.